RNAcentral lists this ribosomal RNA (449 nucleotides) under uncultured bacterium. RNAcentral's name for it is "bacterial SSU rRNA". It matches the Rfam family "Bacterial small subunit ribosomal RNA", at positions 345 to 786 of the family's 1533-position model. The record is from RNAcentral.
AAGGCAGCAGUGGGGAAUAUUGCACAAUGGGCGCAAGCCUGAUGCAGCCAUGCCGCGUGUAUGAAGAAGGCCUUCGGGUUGUAAAGUACUUUCAGUCGUGAGGAAGGUGUUAAGGUUAAUAACCUUAGCAAUUGACGUUAGCGACAGAAGAAGCACCGGCUAACUCCGUGCCAGCAGCCGCGGUAAUACGGAGGGUGCGAGCGUUAAUCGGAAUUACUGGGCGUAAAGGGCACGCAGGCGGUUAAUUAAGUUGGAUGUGAAAUCCCCGGGCUUAACCUGGGAAUGGCAUUCAAGACUGGUUAGCUAGAGUCUUGUAGAGGGGGUAGAAUUCCAUGUGUAGCGGUGAAAUGCGUAGAGAUGUGGAGGAAUACCGGUGGCGAAGGCGGCCCCUGGGACAAAGACUGACGCUCAUGUGCGAAAGCGUGGGGAGCAAACAGGAUUAGGAUACC